This 275-nucleotide unclassified non-coding RNA is filed under the name Hevea brasiliensis (rubber tree). Lineage: Eukaryota; Viridiplantae; Streptophyta; Magnoliopsida; Malpighiales; Euphorbiaceae. The record is from RNAcentral.
AUCAGAACAAUAUCAUCCGCAGACACCAAGAAAUUAAAAUCACAUCCUCAUCAUCACUAGUCAGAUACUGAAUCUAUCUGACAUCAGAACUCAGAAGUAAAUAGAUAAUAGCAAUAUAAGGAGCAAACUUGAAAGCACAGCCGGUAAACAAACAAGGAAGAGUGAAUUAAAAGGGGCUCCUAAAACAGUGAUAUGCCAUAAAGGCAAUGUUAAAUUUGGAGAGAAUACUGACAAAUUAAAUAUUAGUUCAUUUUUAAUUUGGGCUUAUAUAAGUG